Molecule: non-coding RNA, 1464 nt
Organism: Callorhinus ursinus (northern fur seal)
Lineage: Eukaryota; Metazoa; Chordata; Mammalia; Carnivora; Otariidae
Source: RefSeq, a predicted model, not a curated record
CUCACUCUCUCUUUCUCUCUAAAUAAAUAAAUAAAAUCUUUUUUUUUUUUAAGCAGGAUUCCAUAAUACUUUAUAUUUCAGAAUUUGAAAAGCUACCUCUAGUAAGGUAUUUUUUAAUUAUAACAAGACAAAGUGAAAGCCUUCUUAUUAAGUUAGUGAUGCUUAUGAUCUAAUUCCAUAGAAAGAGGAAACCUGUACACACUAAUUCCUAUUUCUUCCUCCCUGUCUCCAACCUGUGGCAACUAUCAUUCCACUUUCGCUGUAAAUCUGACUACUCCUUAAGUAUCUCAUGUAAGUGGAAUCACAUAGUUGUUUUCAUAAUUUCCUUUUCAGAUUGUUCAUUGUUAGUGUAUAAAAAUGCAGCUGGUUUUGGGGUGUUGCUUUUUGUAUCUUACUAUGGAAUCUUUAGGGUUUUCUGCAUUUAAGAUUAUAUCAUCAAACUGUACGCCUUCUACGUCUUUUUCUUGCCUCAUUGCUCUAGCUAGGAUUCCUAGUACUAGGUUGAACAGAAGUGGCAAAAGUGGGCACCUCGUCUUGUUCCUGAUCUUAGAGAAAAGCUUUCAGUGUUUCCCCACUAAGUAUGAUGUUUGCUGUAGGUUUGCGUAUAUGGCUCCUGUGUGUUUUACAGGCUCAGAAGGGUACUUUGUAUGUGAGGUCACACAGCUAGUUUACAGUAGAACCAGGACAGGAAGCGAGGCCGUUUGGAUGGAGACACACGUCCUCUCACCAGUCUCACCGUCCCCAAGCAAGGUUACCAGCACACUACAGGGUCUGAGGAUGAUGUUUAGACUGGUUAUAAUUGAAUGAGCAGCUGAGUAGACAUGACUGGGCAUGGCUCUGGAGAGGAUGCCUUCACGUUUCCAGGCCAACUUCCACUUACUUCAGGAUACCUCAGGUCUGAGAAUCGUACCUGCCUUAUCCUUGACAUAUAAGUACGAGGGAACUGUAUUUCUUCAUGAAAUGGGAGCAGUGAAGCAUUAAGGAGGCUGACAAAAGUAGGGGCUACGUGUAAGUUUGUGAGCUGAGGAGGAAGAUUGAGAAUUACUACAGUCAUGUACACGAUUUACCCAACUUUAUUAUUCACCUCUCCUUGGUGUUAAAUGCUCACACUCUAUUUUUAUUCUCUACUGUCCGAAAAUAAUGAGAGGUAAGUGUGGUGCCUGGGGAUAUUUGUUUGUUGCCUCAUAGAAUUUUUCUUUUUUUGUUUAGACUUCAGCGAAUCUAAAUUGAGAAAGCGCUAGAUAGCAGAAUUUUGAUAGUAUACAAAGAUCAGAUCUUACUCUGAAGCCUCAUAUGUCUUAUUUCCAGUUAUUGAAGUUACAUUGUGAGGAAAAGCUAUCAGUGACCUGACAGAAACUUCCAGAAACAAUAUUGAAGCAAGGCUAUCUGACCUCUUCAAGUGUCAGGCCCUUUUUGAAGACUCGGAGGCUGUUUUGGCCUCUGCACUGCGUGUUAGAGAAUAGU